UUGCCAGAUUCCUUUUAGCGGGAAUUUUAAAAUUUUAUAGCAGUUUGGUUUUAAAUUUGACAGUUCUGUUUUCUCAAGUCAAAAAUCUUAACCUUACUUUUACAAGUGAUUAGGAUUAUUAUUAUUAUUUUAUUUACAUGUAAAUUGAAACAAUAAAUAUUGUGCUGUGUCAUAAUUUCAAACUCAUUAUGUUGCAGUCUUUUCCAGUUGAUAAAAUUGCAAUUCAAAAACUUUUAGAUUUGCACAGGAAGAGAACAAGAGUACAAGAACAUGAAACAUCUUAUUAUGAAUGUAUAUGUAUGUGAUCCUCAAAAAAUUAUUUUACAAAACAAGAUAGAGAAAGAGCUUUAAAAUCCCAAGGAUCCUGCAAAAUGUUUAUUUGGUGUACUAGUCGAAUAAUAGUAACUAAAAAUAUUGAAACUAUUUUAAAACACAUUAUGGGCAUGAGGAUGAUAUAGAGCACUUACAUAAAUACCAAAAUCAGAUAAAUAUCUCUUCAAAGUUUAUUUUGAGACUUUCUUCAAAAAUUAAACUUCAGACUGUUAAGGAUAGCAUAAUAGCAUAGGAGGCGAAUUAAAAAGAAUUGAUUUACUUACAAGAAAAGAUAUCACAAACAUUAAACUCUAUUAUGGCAUUGAUUUGAAAGAUGGGUAUAUGUACAAUGAUGAUGCAACCAGUGUUUAUUUUUGGGUUGAAUGCUUACAGACUCAUGUCCAAUAUUAUUUUACAAACAACAGGGCAUACUAAUGGAUAUUCAUUCUGAAUUUAACAUUUAUGAUUGUUGUCUUAUUUUCCUUAAUACUGUGUCAAAAGGAAAUGUUAAUUAAGUUUGGUAAAUCCUUUAUCGCAAUCGAUGGAACUCAUGGGCUCAAUUCCUAUGACUUUGAACUUAUGACAGUAUUAGUAAAAGAUGAAUUUGGGAAUGGAUUUUGUACUGCUUUCUUAUUUUCAAAUAGAAAAGAUACCUACUUUAA
Long non-coding RNA from Diabrotica virgifera virgifera (western corn rootworm), 974 nucleotides. RefSeq lists it as uncharacterized. The transcript is spliced from 3 exons. The record is from RefSeq and is a predicted model, not a curated record. NCBI's taxonomy places the organism in Eukaryota, Metazoa, Arthropoda, Insecta, Coleoptera, Chrysomelidae.